GGGGCAAAAAGAUGGAGACAAGUGUAGAAAAUAUUGAAGUAAAUAAAGAGAAGAUGAUGAAGCAGUUCAAUAAAUCAGUUGAUUUGGAAUUACAAUUACCAAAAUCUAAUGAUCAGAGAUCAUCAGAAUUAGCCAAAACUAAAUCAUGAGACGGGAAUUGUCCAAGACUAUAUAAACAGACUACUCAACCGGUGGGUGUUGGCUAUUAACC
This 211-nucleotide unclassified non-coding RNA is filed under the name Hevea brasiliensis (rubber tree). The record is from RNAcentral. Lineage: Eukaryota; Viridiplantae; Streptophyta; Magnoliopsida; Malpighiales; Euphorbiaceae.